Passer montanus (Eurasian tree sparrow) is the source of this 716-nucleotide long non-coding RNA. RefSeq lists it as uncharacterized. Lineage: Eukaryota; Metazoa; Chordata; Aves; Passeriformes; Passeridae. The record is from RefSeq and is a predicted model, not a curated record. The transcript has 2 exons.
AGGAGGAGGAGGCGAUGGGAGCCAGUCAGCGCGGACACCGCGCCGGGGGAGGGGGGUGCGGACGGGGACGGUCCGCAGGUGGGACCCAGCCCGGCGCCGGGCCAUGGCCGGCCGAGCCCCCGCCGCGGACCAGCCGGCGGAGCCCCCCGAGGGGCCGCUUCAGAGCGCUAGCACCUCCGCCGUGGCCCACGGAGUCAUCCUGCGGAGAAGGCUUUCAGCGGAUCUGCGAGCACCGGAGCUAUACCUGUGUGCAGCAGCAGGGGUUGUGUCUGCAGGAGGGUGUUCUGCUCUCGGGGUGUUUUUCCCGCAUCACUUGGUGUUACUCCAAACUUCGCUGCUGCUCCUCUACAGCUGCCGAGCAGAAAACAGAAGUUCCCUGAAGUGCAGUCCGCCUCGGAAACAUACUUUUUAGCAGCUGGUUGAGGAGGCAGAAGGCAAGUCCCAGCCAGGGAAAAAGCUUCUCCCUUUUAAAAGCAGCGAUCGUGAAGUUGCUUCUUCUUCUUCCUCCUCCUCGCGUGUGUGUGCCUGCCCGUGAAUGGGUCCCUACGUGUCUACGGAGUUAAAAGGCUCCUUUUCAAAAAUGUCCUUUGCAUCACGCUCAUCAGACAGAUAGACAUUUACCGAGACUCCCGCAGCAACAUCAAGAUGAAGCUUGACUUGUCUCCGCUCCCUUAAAAAAGAAAGGAAAAAGGAGGGAGGAGGGUAAAUAAAAGAAA